GACGAACGCUGGCGGCGUGCUUAACACAUGCAAGUCGAACGGAAAGGCCCUGCUUUUGUGGGGUGCUCGAGUGGCGAACGGGUGAGUAACACGUGAGUAACCUGCCCUUGACUUUGGGAUAACUUCAGGAAACUGGGGCUAAUACCGGAUAGGAGCUCCUGCUGCAUGGUGGGGGUUGGAAAGUUUCGGCGGUUGGGGAUGGACUCGCGGCUUAUCAGCUUGUGGGUGGGGUAGUGGCUUACCAAGGCUUUGACGGGUAGCCGGCCUGAGAGGGUGAACGGCCACAUUGGGACUGAGAUACGGCCCAGACUCCUACGGGAGGCAGCAGUGGGGAAUAUUGCACAAUGGGCGGAAGCCUGAUGCAGCAACGCCGCGUGCGGGAUGACGGCCUUCGGGUUGUAAACCGCUUUCGCCUGUGACGAAGCGUGAGUGACGGUAAUGGGUAAAGAAGCACCGGCUAACUACGUG
RNAcentral lists this ribosomal RNA (468 nucleotides) under uncultured bacterium. RNAcentral describes it as "partial 16S ribosomal RNA". It matches the Rfam family "Bacterial small subunit ribosomal RNA", at positions 28 to 507 of the family's 1533-position model. The record is from RNAcentral.